RNAcentral lists this ribosomal RNA (469 nucleotides) under uncultured Methanomicrobiales archaeon. Its description in RNAcentral is "bacterial SSU rRNA". It matches the Rfam family "Archaeal small subunit ribosomal RNA", at positions 871 to 1337 of the family's 1478-position model. Lineage: Archaea; Methanobacteriati; Methanobacteriota; Methanomicrobia; Methanomicrobiales. The record is from RNAcentral.
CGGGGAGCACCACAACAGGUGGAGCCUGCGGUUUAAUCGGACUCAACGCCGGGAAACUCACCAGAUAAGACAGCUGAAUGAUAGUCGGGCUGAAGACUCUACUUGACUAGCUGAGAGGAGGUGCAUGGCCGUCGUCAGUUCGUACUGUGAAGCAUCCCGUUAAGUCAGGCAACGAGCGAGACCCACGCCAACAGUUGCCAGCUCGUCCUCCGGGAUGGUGGGGACACUGUUGGGACCGCCUCUGCUAAAGAGGAGGAAGGAAUGGGCAACGGUAGGUCAGCAUGCCCCGAAUUAUCUGGGCUGCACGCGGGCUACAAUGGGUGGGACAAUGGGUAUCGACACCGAAAGGUGAAGGCAAUCUCCUAAACCCAUCCGUAGUUCGGAUUGUGGGCUGCAACUCGCCCACAUGAAGCUGGAAUCUGUAGUAAUCGUGUCUCAAAAUGGCACGGUGAAUAUGUCCCUGCUCCUU